This is a long non-coding RNA of Penaeus indicus, 936 nucleotides long. RefSeq lists it as uncharacterized. The record is from RefSeq and is a predicted model, not a curated record. NCBI's taxonomy places the organism in Eukaryota, Metazoa, Arthropoda, Malacostraca, Decapoda, Penaeidae. The transcript is spliced from 6 exons.
UGCCAAGUCUAUUGGGGAAGCAAGAUCACUGCCAUCUUUCCUAUAUUAUUUUCAUCAUACAAGAUAUUCAGAUUUUUAUUCUUGCAGCAGUUGUGUGACCAGCAUCCAUCCCAAAUGACAAAUAGAAGUUGUAUUAACAAGGCUGAGAAUUGGGCACACAAGACUGACUCAUGGGCCGAUGAUGGCUAAAAGUGAAGCACGCUGUGAGGAAUGCCAAGAGCCAUUAACGGUCGCACAUAUAGUGGAAAGAUGUGCAACACUCUCAGACCAAAGACGAAGCCCCUAUAGGAGUGGUGAGUGUCUAGCUCCGACUCCUUGACGACUUGUCGGUCUAGUUUUUUGAAGACAAGCGUGAGCUUAGCCUUCAUGUCCACUGGAAGGACAGAGGGGAAACCAAGUUUCUUCAGGGACUGGACGACAUCCUGUGAGAAGAGCUUUUCAGCAUGGACGUCGUCUUCGAUCAAGGCCAGUGUGUCAGCAGGUGCUGACUCGGGUGAGCUUAGUCCUUACCCACCGUGGUGCCCAGCCACAGCAGUAACCCCCAGGAGACAAUUGCAACUUCUCGCGCCUGGGCGGAGCGCGAACUGCCGACCCCUCGGAUGAGAGGCCGACACGUUACCACUGUACUAGCCCAGAGGCUGAAAAUUGUAUAUGGAUAUUACCUCUCAAUUGGAAAAUUAUGAACUUGAGGCGGCCGCGAUGUGGCGACGUUUUGCCCUGCACGUACGUGAACGACUAUGAGGGAGAUUAUUUUACAUUGCCAGGAGAUCCUUUAUAUCUUCCCUCAUAACACAACGGGAGCUUCGGUCGCCGUCACUUCAGCGAAGCCCAGGUUGUAUAUUAUAUUUGUAUUUCCGCUGGCACCUGUCCCUCGUGAACAACCACGUUAUGGAAUGGACUUCAGUUGUGAAGGAAAGCGACGGAAACAGACAUGGA